This 253-nucleotide ribosomal RNA is filed under the name uncultured bacterium. RNAcentral's name for it is "partial 16S ribosomal RNA". It matches the Rfam family "Bacterial small subunit ribosomal RNA", at positions 524 to 776 of the family's 1533-position model. The record is from RNAcentral.
UACGGAGGGUGCAAGCGUUAAUCGGAAUUACUGGGCGUAAAGCGUGCGCAGGCGGGUUUGUAAGUCAGAUGUGAAAUCCCCGGGCUUAACCUGGGAAUGGCAUUUGGGACUGCAAGGCUUGAGUGCGGCAGAGGAGACUGGAAUUCCUGGUGUAGCAGUGAAAUGCGUAGAUAUCAGGAGGAACACCGAUGGCGAAGGCAGGUCUCUGGGCUGACACUGACGCUCAUGCACGAAAGCGUGGGGAGCAAACAGG